RNAcentral lists this ribosomal RNA (497 nucleotides) under uncultured bacterium. RNAcentral describes it as "partial 16S ribosomal RNA". It matches the Rfam family "Bacterial small subunit ribosomal RNA", at positions 28 to 507 of the family's 1533-position model. The record is from RNAcentral.
GAUGAACGCUGGCGGCGUGCCUAAUACAUGCAAGUCGAGCGAACGGACGAGAAGCUUGCGUCUCUGAUGUUAGCGGCGGACGGGUGAGUAACACGUGGAUAACCUACCUAUAAGACUGGGAUAACUUCGGGAAACCGGAGAUAAUACCAGAUAAUAUUUUGAACCGCAUGGUUCAAAAGUGAAAGACGGUCUUGCUGUCACUUAUAGAUGGAUCCGCGCUGCAUUAGCUAGUUGGUAAGGUAACGGCUUACCAAGGCAACGAUGCAUAGCCGACCUGAGAGGGUGAUCGGCCACACUGGAACUGAGACACGGUCCAGACUCCUACGGGAGGCAGCAGUAGGGAAUCUUCCGCAAUGGGCGAAAGCCUGACGGAGCAACGCCGCGUGAGUGAUGAAGGUCUUCGGAUCGUAAAACUCUGUUAUUAGGGAAGAACAUAUGUGUAAGUAACUGUGCACAUCUUGACGGUACCUAAUCAGAAAGCCACGGCUAACUACGUG